UACGAAGGGGGCUAGCGUUGUUCGGAAUUACUGGGCGUGAAGCGUGCGCAGGCGGUUCGUUGUGUCUGAUGUGAAAGCCCCGGGCUCAACCUGGGAAUGGCAUUGGAAACUGGCGAGCUAGAGUGUGGCAGAGGGGGGUGGAAUUCCGCGUGUAGCAGUGAAAUGCGUAGAGAUGCGGAGGAAUACCGAUGGCGAAGGCAGCCCCCUGGGAUAACACUGACGCUCAUGCACGAAAGCGUGGGGAGCAAACAGG
RNAcentral lists this ribosomal RNA (253 nucleotides) under uncultured bacterium. Its description in RNAcentral is "partial 16S ribosomal RNA". It matches the Rfam family "Bacterial small subunit ribosomal RNA", at positions 524 to 776 of the family's 1533-position model. The record is from RNAcentral.